GGUGAGAUGUCCGAGUGGUUGAAGGAGCACGCCUGGAAAGCGUGUAUAGGCGAAUAACCUAUCGAGGGUUCGAAUCCCUCUCUCACCGCCA
RNAcentral lists this transfer RNA (91 nucleotides) under Calditrichota bacterium. RNAcentral's name for it is "Calditrichaeota bacterium tRNA-Ser". It matches the Rfam family "tRNA". From Rfam's summary of the family: Transfer RNA (tRNA) molecules are approximately 80 nucleotides in length. Their secondary structure includes four short double-helical elements and three loops (D, anti-codon, and T loops). Lineage: Bacteria; Pseudomonadati; Calditrichota. The record is from RNAcentral.